UGAGUAGUUUGUAGAACUAUCGUUAGCAAGAAUACUUUGAAGUAAUUGUUUUCUGUAUGACUUUAUCAGUUUCUCAUAUCAUUGUGGAGGUAUUUUGACCCGUGCUUCUCUACAACAUUAGUUCAGUUCACUGAAGUUUGCAGACUUGUUUGGGAUCAGGAUAAAUGGCCUCACAUUUGACUCUGGAAUACUGACCAAUCACUGCAAAGUGCCCAGGGUCCCUCAGCAUUGCUACCAGGAAGGAGGAUUUCUUCAAAUGCAGGCUGCUCAUCCAAUUACAGCGCGGCCUUCGCAGACAUGCCGAGACCAAUUCCACAGAAGGCUGUCAGCCUGAAUCAGACUGUUGACUGUGAGCCUCAUGGGCCAGACAGAGGUUCACUCACAGCCUCCAGGGAGCCCAGCGUUGUUUUGCUUAUCAAACCAUGAGC
Oreochromis aureus is the source of this 428-nucleotide long non-coding RNA. RefSeq lists it as uncharacterized. The transcript is spliced from 4 exons. The record is from RefSeq and is a predicted model, not a curated record. Lineage: Eukaryota; Metazoa; Chordata; Actinopteri; Cichliformes; Cichlidae.